Molecule: ribosomal RNA, 497 nt
Filed under: uncultured bacterium
Lineage: Bacteria
Description: partial 16S ribosomal RNA
Rfam family: Bacterial small subunit ribosomal RNA
Source: RNAcentral
GAUGAACGCUGGCGGCGUGCCUAAUACAUGCAAGUCGAGCGAACAGACGAGGAGCUUGCUCCUCUGACGUUAGCGGCGGACGGGUGAGUAACACGUGGAUAACCUACCUAUAAGACUGGGAUAACUUCGGGAAACCGGAGCUAAUACCGGAUAAUAUAUUGAACCGCAUGGUUCAAUAGUGAAAGACGGUUUUGCUGUCACUUAUAGAUGGAUCCGCGCCGCAUUAGCUAGUUGGUAAGGUAACGGCUUACCAAGGCAACGAUGCGUAGCCGACCUGAGAGGGUGAUAGGCCACACGUGAACUGAGACACGGUCCAGACUCUUACGGGAGGCACCAGUAGGGCAUCUUCCGAAAUGGGCGAAAGCAUGACGGAGCAACGCCGCGUGAGUGAUGAAGGUCUUCGGAUCGUAAAACUCUGUUAUUAGGGAAGAACAAAUGUGUAAGUAACUAUGCACGGCUUGACGGUACCUAAUCCGAAAGCCACGGCUAACUACGUG